RNAcentral lists this ribosomal RNA (1999 nucleotides) under Enterococcus faecalis. Its description in RNAcentral is "partial 23S ribosomal RNA". It matches the Rfam family "Bacterial large subunit ribosomal RNA", at positions 1 to 2012 of the family's 2925-position model. The record is from RNAcentral. Lineage: Bacteria; Bacillati; Bacillota; Bacilli; Lactobacillales; Enterococcaceae.
GGUUAAGUGAAUAAGGGCGCACGGUGGAUGCCUUGGCACUAGGAGCCGAUGAAGGACGGGACUAACACCGAUAUGCUUUGGGGAGCUGUAAGUAAGCUAUGAUCCAGAGAUUUCCGAAUGGGGAAACCCAAUAUCUUUUAUAGGAUAUUACUUUUCAGUGAAUACAUAGCUGAUUAGAGGUAGACGCAGAGAACUGAAACAUCUUAGUACCUGCAGGAAGAGAAAGAAAAUUCGAUUCCCUGAGUAGCGGCGAGCGAAACGGGAAGAGCCCAAACCAACAAGCUUGCUUGUUGGGGUUGUAGGACUCCAAUAUGGUAGUCUGUUAGUAUAGUUGAAGGAUUUGGAAAAUUCCGCUAAAGAGGGUGAAAGCCCCGUAGACGAAAUGCUAAUAACACCUAGGAGGAUCCUGAGUACGGCGGAACACGAGAAAUUCCGUCGGAAUCCGCGGGGACCAUCCCGCAAGGCUAAAUACUCCCUAGUGACCGAUAGUGAACCAGUACCGUGAGGGAAAGGUGAAAAGCACCCCGGAAGGGGAGUGAAAUAGAUCCUGAAACCGUGUGCCUACAACAAGUCAAAGCUCGUUAAUGAGUGAUGGCGUGCCUUUUGUAGAAUGAACCGGCGAGUUACGAUUGCAUGCGAGGUUAAGUCGAAGAGACGGAGCCGCAGCGAAAGCGAGUCUGAAUAGGGCGAAUGAGUAUGUAGUCGUAGACCCGAAACCAUGUGAUCUACCCAUGUCCAGGUUGAAGGUGCGGUAAAACGCACUGGAGGACCGAACCCACGUACGUUGAAAAGUGCGGGGAUGAGGUGUGGGUAGCGGAGAAAUUCCAAACGAACUUGGAGAUAGCUGGUUCUCUCCGAAAUAGCUUUAGGGCUAGCCUCGGAAUUGAGAAUGAUGGAGGUAGAGCACUGUUUGGACUAGGGGCCCAUCUCGGGUUACCGAAUUCAGAUAAACUCCGAAUGCCAUUCAUUUAUAUCCGGGAGUCAGACUGCGAGUGAUAAGAUCCGUAGUCGAAAGGGAAACAGCCCAGACCACCAGCUAAGGUCCCAAAAUAUAUGUUAAGUGGAAAAGGAUGUGGGGUUGCACAGACAACUAGGAUGUUGGCUUAGAAGCAGCCACCAUUUAAAGAGUGCGUAAUAGCUCACUAGUCGAGUGACCCUGCGCCGAAAAUGUACCGGGGCUAAACAUAUUACCGAAGCUGUGGACUACACCAUUAGGUGUAGUGGUAGGAGAGCGUUCUAAGGGCGUUGAAGGUCGAUCGUGAGGACGGCUGGAGCGCUUAGAAGUGAGAAUGCCGGUAUGAGUAGCGAAAGACAGGUGAGAAUCCUGUCCACCGUAUGACUAAGGUUUCCUGGGGAAGGCUCGUCCGCCCAGGGUUAGUCGGGACCUAAGCCGAGGCCGAUAGGCGUAGGCGAUGGACAACAGGUUGAUAUUCCUGUACCAGUUGUUUUUGUUUGAACAAUGGAGGGACGCAGUAGGCUAAGGAAUGCAUGCGAUUGGAAGUGCAUGUCCAAGCAAUGAGUCUUGAGUAGAGUUAAAUGCUUUACUCUCUAAGGACAAGUUGUGACGGGGAGCGAAAUAAUAGUAGCGAAGUUCCUGAUGUCACACUGCCAAGAAAAGCUUCUAGUGAGAAAACAACUGCCCGUACCGUAAACCGACACAGGUAGUCGAGGAGAGUAUCCUAAGGUGAGCGAGCGAACUCUCGUUAAGGAACUCGGCAAAAUGACCCCGUAACUUCGGGAGAAGGGGUGCUGACUUCGGUCAGCCGCAGUGAAUAGGCCCAAGCGACUGUUUAUCAAAAACACAGGUCUCUGCAAAAUCGUAAGAUGAAGUAUAGGGGCUGACGCCUGCCCGGUGCUGGAAGGUUAAGAGGAUGGGUUAGCUUCGGCGAAGCUCAGAAUUGAAGCCCCAGUAAACGGCGGCCGUAACUAUAACGGUCCUAAGGUAGCGAAAUUCCUUGUCGGGUAAGUUCCGACCCGCACGAAAGGCGUAACGAUUUGG